Molecule: long non-coding RNA, 417 nt
Filed under: Amborella trichopoda
Lineage: Eukaryota; Viridiplantae; Streptophyta; Magnoliopsida; Amborellales; Amborellaceae
Description: long non-coding RNA (ATRI_LNC005243)
Source: RNAcentral
UUGUUCUCCAUCAUCUGUACCAUGGAUAACCUCCUUCUCAAGUUUUUGGUUGUUUUUCUCAAGUUUUUCAUUGUUUUUCUUUUUCUUUUUGGAAGGAGCAAGUGGGGAGGGGUCCCCCGGAUGAACCAAUAGGGAGAGGGCCCCUACCUUGAUAGGAGUUGAGCCUAGGUCGUAGCGUUGAGAAUCGUCAUGUGCUAUCUAGUUAGGCCUUGGCUAACUUCAAGUAUUUAUCACUUGCAAACAAAAUAGACAUCAGUGCUUGAUGCAAACGUGAUAAGCUCUUGAUUUUCAUUAGUAUAGUGCUCAUUCAACAAAAAAAAUUAAUUAUUCUAGGGAUUGCUAAUUCUAACCCAUGCUUUUGUGCGGUUUGUAUAAGGUCGAGGCUCCAAACAAAAUUAAAUAGUGUCGAGAAAUGUG